Molecule: long non-coding RNA, 1687 nt
Filed under: Capsicum annuum
Lineage: Eukaryota; Viridiplantae; Streptophyta; Magnoliopsida; Solanales; Solanaceae
Description: long non-coding RNA (CANN_LNC013734)
Source: RNAcentral
CUGGUAUACCUCUGUUUCUAUUUUGUUUUAUAUGACAUGUUUCCUUCAAUGGUUUUUGGUAUUGUCUUGUCUAAUCUUGUUAUUUCUUUCUCUGAAUUAGAUCUGCCCAAUAUUUCUGGAUAUUUUCUUUUAAUUUGUGCUGAAAAGAAUCACAUCUUUGUAUGUUUGAAAACUCUAUUGUUUCAAUUUUUUUUACUCUUAGUGACAUGGUCUUAUGAUUAUAGAAAUGUCAUGACAUACUUAAAACCACAAGUUCUCGGUAAAAUUUAGAUAUAUAUGAAAAUAAAUUCUUUCUUUCGUGAACGCUGUACUCAAUCCAAUAAUACUAUGUAAACAGGGAGAAUAAUUUUUGUUUCACUUACUUGCAUGUAAAAGGUGGUGAGUUGGGGUCAAUUGGAAAGACACCUGGAGCACUUGGAGUGCCUGGAUAAAUGAUAGGUGUAGUGGGGGUGGUAGGAGUCGGGGAGUAACCACCCCCUGGAGUGCUUGGAGUUCCGGGGUCAAUGGUAGGAGUAGGUGGUGUUUCAAUGAUUGGAGUAGUUGGGGUAGUAGGUGUAGGGGAAGGAUAGUAACCACCACCCCCUGGAGUGCUUGGAGUACCAGGGUCAACGGUAGGCGUAGGUGGUGUUUCAAUGGUAGGUGUAGAGGGGGUGGUAGGUGUAGGUGUAGGCGAAGGAUAGUAGCCACCACCACCUGGAGUGCUUGGAGUUCCGGGGUCAGCGGUAGGAGUAGGUGGUGUUUCAAUAGUAGGUGCGGAGGGAGUGGAUGGUGUACUAGGGGUACUAGGUGUAGGAGUACUUGGAGUCGGGGAAGGAUAGUAGCCACUUCCACCCCCUGGAGUACUUGGAGUGCCAGGGUCUGGAGUUGGGGUUACAACAGGUGUAGAGGGGGUGGAUGGUGUACUAGGGGUACUAGGUGUUGGAGUACUAGGAGGGCUUCCUCCACCAUGAUGAGCUGGUGGAGAGGGAGAAUAACCACCACCUCCAUGACCGCCUGAUGGAGGAGAUGGGGUAGGGUUAUGGUGAUGAUGAUGCCCUCCACUAGGGGGAGUCGGGUUACCACAGUUACCACCUGGUGGGUUUCCUCCAUGACCACCGCUUCCAUGCGAAGGUGUUCCAUGACCACCUCUUGAACCAUGAGAUGGAGGUGUGUAUGAACCUGUCAAUCAUAAAAAUAUACUAUGAGUGCAAAAUGCUUAUAUAUAAAAGAGGAUUGGAUUUAUAUACAUUGACAAUAGCGCAAAGAACUUUUAUACUGUCCGUAGGUUUUAACUUGUUUAUAGCAUGUAAUAUGUCUUAUUUUCAUGUUAUGGCAUACUGUCCAUAUGUUUUACUGAACUACUAGUAUAUAAUUUAUUUUACUGUAUCAAAGCAUAGAAGUUAGUUGAAACAAUCUGUGAAGUAAAGCUCACGUCUCCAAAUUGCUUUGUUUCUUAAUUUGGUCUCCUUGCCAGUAAUAAUUUUUGCUACUUCCAGCAAUAUUAGCCGACAUUUGGCUCAUAAAGUGUUUAAACAAAUCAUUUUAGCUUUUGCCAAGACUUUAAAGUAGUUAGUAACAAGAAUUCCAUCAUGAAACCAAAAACAACAUAAGUUGUGCGAACUCUGCACUUUCAAUGACACACCCGUAUCGGAUUCUUCAAACAUACACUAUUUUUGAAGAAUCCGACACACACCUAUUGAUAUUUUGA